GUGCUCGCUUGGGCAGCGCAUAUACUAAAAUUCUAGCCAUACGGAGAGGAUUGGCAUGGCUCCGGUGCAAGGAUGAUAUGAAAAUUCGUGAAGCAUUAUAUACUAGU
Small nuclear RNA from Myotis lucifugus (little brown bat), 107 nucleotides. NCBI's taxonomy places the organism in Eukaryota, Metazoa, Chordata, Mammalia, Chiroptera, Vespertilionidae. The record is from Ensembl.